UGAACGCUAGCUACAGGCUUAACACAUGCAAGUCGAGGGGCAGCAUUUCAGUUUGCUUGCAAACUGGAGAUGGCGACCGGCGCACGGGUGAGUAACACGUAUCCAACCUGCCGAUAACUCGGGGAUAGCCUUUCGAAAGAAAGAUUAAUACCCGAUGGUAUAAUCAGACCGCAUGGUCUUGUUAUUAAAGAAUUUCGGUUAUCGAUGGGGAUGCGUUCCAUUAGGCAGUUGGUGAGGUAACGGCUCACCAAACCUUCGAUGGAUAGGGGUUCUGAGAGGAAGGUCCCCCACAUUGGAACUGAGACACGGUCCAAACUCCUACGGGAGGCAGCAGUGAGGAAUAUUGGUCAAUGGGCGCAGGCCUGAACCAGCCAAGUAGCGUGAAGGAUGACUGCCCUAUGGGUUGUAAACUUCUUUUAUAUGGGAAUAAAGUUUUCCACGUGUGGAAUUUUGUAUGUACCAUAUGAAUAAGGAUCGGCUAACUCCGUGCCAGCAGCCGCGGUAAUACGGAGGAUCCGAGCGUUAUCCGGAUUUAUUGGGUUUAAAGGGAGCGUAGGUGGACAGUUAAGUCAGUUGUGAAAGUUUGCGGCUCAACCGUAAAAUUGCAGUUGAUACUGGCUGUCUUGAGUACAGUAGAGGUGGGCGGAAUUCGUGGUGUAGCGGUGAAAUGCUUAGAUAUCACGAAGAACUCCGAUUGCGAAGGCAGCUCACUGGACUGCAACUGACACUGAUGCUCGAAAGUGUGGGUAUCAAACAGGAUUAGAUACCCUGGUAGUCCACACAGUAAACGAUGAAUACUCGCUGUUUGCGAUAUACAGUAAGCGGCCAAGCGAAAGCAUUAAGUAUUCCACCUGGGGAGUACGCCGGCAACGGUGAAACUCAAAGGAAUUGACGGGGGCCCGCACAAGCGGAGGAACAUGUGGUUUAAUUCGAUGAUACGCGAGGAACCUUACCCGGGCUUAAAUUGCAUUUGAAUAUAUUGGAAACAGUAUAGCCGUAAGGCAAAUGUGAAGGUGCUGCAUGGUUGUCGUCAGCUCGUGCCGUGAGGUGUCGGCUUAAGUGCCAUAACGAGCGCAACCCUUAUCUUUAGUUACUAACAGGUCAUGCUGAGGACUCUAGAGAGACUGCCGUCGUAAGAUGUGAGGAAGGUGGGGAUGACGUCAAAUCAGCACGGCCCUUACGUCCGGGGCUACACACGUGUUACAAUGGGGGGUACAGAAGGCAGCUACCUGGUGACAGGAUGCUAAUCCCAAAAGCCUCUCUCAGUUCGGAUCGAAGUCUGCAACCCGACUUCGUGAAGCUGGAUUCGCUAGUAAUCGCGCAUCAGCCAUGGCGCGGUGAAUACGUUCCCGGGCCUUGUACACACCGCCCGUCAAGCCAUGAAAGCCGGGGGUACCUGAAGUACGUAACCGCAAGGAGCGUCCUAGGGUAAAACUGGUAAUUGGGGCUAAGUC
RNAcentral lists this ribosomal RNA (1454 nucleotides) under uncultured organism. Its description in RNAcentral is "SSU rRNA". It matches the Rfam family "Bacterial small subunit ribosomal RNA". The record is from RNAcentral.